This 26-nucleotide transfer RNA is filed under the name Phrynocephalus guttatus (spotted toadhead agama). RNAcentral's name for it is "partial tRNA-Tyr". The record is from RNAcentral. Lineage: Eukaryota; Metazoa; Chordata; Lepidosauria; Squamata; Agamidae.
UAUGGGGUGGCAAACUCCUCUUAUCA